This 328-nucleotide ribosomal RNA is filed under the name uncultured eukaryote. RNAcentral describes it as "partial 18S ribosomal RNA". It matches the Rfam family "Eukaryotic small subunit ribosomal RNA", at positions 1470 to 1796 of the family's 1831-position model. The record is from RNAcentral.
CCCUUAGAUGUUCUGGGCUGCACGCGCGCUACACUGAUUCUUUCAGCGAGUCCACCACCUUGCCUGGGAGGGUGGGGUAACCUCUGGAAAGAGCAUCGUGAUGGGGAUCGAUUAUUGUAAUUAUUAAUCUUCAACGAGGAAUUCCUAGUAAGCAUGUGUCAUCAGCCCGUGCUGAUUACGUCCCUGCCCUUUGUACACACCGCCCGUCGCUCCUACCGAUUGGAUGGUCCGGUGAAGCCUCGGGAUUGUGGUUCUUGCCGCUUUAUUGUGGCGUGACCGCGAGAACUUGUCUAAACCUUAUCAUCUAGAGGAAGGUGAAGUCGUAACA